GAAUCAUGAGGAUAUGAAGGAUAGGAUGGCGUAGGGUAAGCUGAGGCUGGUGGUGGGUAAGGAGCUGCUGCAGCUGGUGGUGGGUAAGGAGCUGCUGAGGUUGGUGGUGGGUAAGGAGCUGCUGAGGUUGGUGGUGGGUAAGGAGCUGCUGAGGUUGGUUGAGGGUAAUAAGCUGAUGGAGGGUACGAGGCUGGUCGCAGGUAAGAGUAUGCAGAUGGUUCUGGUACAGGCGAUGCUGCAUAUGGUGGGACUGAUGGGGCAUAAUUCUUUGGUGGCUUCUGUGACUGCACAAGAAUUCAACAAUUACAUCGCUUCAGUUAUAGAUUAAUCUUCAAG
Molecule: long non-coding RNA, 336 nt
Filed under: Panax ginseng (ginseng)
Lineage: Eukaryota; Viridiplantae; Streptophyta; Magnoliopsida; Apiales; Araliaceae
Description: long non-coding RNA (PGIN_LNC018412)
Source: RNAcentral